Molecule: ribosomal RNA, 513 nt
Filed under: uncultured bacterium
Lineage: Bacteria
Description: bacterial SSU rRNA
Rfam family: Bacterial small subunit ribosomal RNA
Source: RNAcentral
AGAGUUUGAUACUGGCUCAGGAUGAACGCUAGCUACAGGCUUAACACAUGCAAGUCGAGGGGUAGCAGGGUAGCAAUACCGCUGACGACCGGCGCACGGGUGAGUAACACGUAUCCAACCUUCCCAUAACUCAGGGAUAGCCUUUCGAAAGAAAGAUUAAUACCUGAUAGUACUUUUUCAAGGCAUCUUGAGAAAGUUAAAGAUUUAUUGGUUAUGGAUGGGGAUGCGUUCCAUUAGAUAGUUGGUGAGGUAACGGCUCACCAAGUCUUCGAUGGAUAGGGGUUCUGAGAGGAAGGUCCCCCACAUUGGUACUGAGACACGGACCAAACUCCUACGGGAGGCAGCAGUGAGGAAUAUUGGUCAAUGGGCGAGGGCCUGAACCAGCCAAGUAGCGUGAAGGAUGAAGGUCCUAUGGAUUGUAAACUUCUUUUAUAGUAGAAUAAAGUGAUCCACGUGUGGAUUUUUGUAUGUAUACUAUGAAUAAGGAUCGGCUAACUCCGUGCCAGCCGCAGC